Molecule: ribosomal RNA, 433 nt
Filed under: uncultured bacterium
Lineage: Bacteria
Description: partial 16S ribosomal RNA
Rfam family: Bacterial small subunit ribosomal RNA
Source: RNAcentral
AACGAACGCUGGCGGCAUGCCUAACACAUGCAAGUCGAACGAGACCUUCGGGUCUAGUGGCGCACGGGUGCGUAACGCGUGGGAACCUGCCCUUAGGUUCGGAAUAACUCCCGGAAAGGGGUGCUAAUACCGGAUAAUGUCUUCGGACCAAAGAUUUAUCGCCUUUGGAUGGGCCCGCGUUGGAUUAGCUGGUUGGUAGGGUAAAAGCCAACCAAGGCGACGAUCCAUAGCUGGUCUGAGAGGAUGAUCAGCCACACUGGGACUGAGACACGGCCCAGACUCCUACGGGAGGCAGCAGUGGGGAAUAUUGGACAAUGGGCGAAAGCCUGAUCCAGCAAUGCCGCGUGAGUGAUGAAGGCCUUAGGGUUGUAAAGCUCUUUUACCCGGGAUGAUAAUGACAGUACCGGGAGAAUAAGCUCCGGCUAACUCCGUG